UACGGAGGGUGCAAGCGUUAUCCGGAUUCACUGGGGUUAAAGGGUGCGUAGGCGGACAGGUAAGUCAGUGGUGAAAUCUCUGGGCUUAACUCAGAAACUGCCGUUGAUACUAUUUGUCUUGAAUAUUCUGGAGGUAAGCGGAAUAUGUCAUGUAGCGGUGAAAUGCUUAGAUAUGACAUAGAACACCGAUAGCGAAGGCAGCUUACUACAGAAUGAUUGACGCUGAGGCACGAAAGCGUGGGGAGCAAACAGG
RNAcentral lists this ribosomal RNA (253 nucleotides) under uncultured bacterium. RNAcentral describes it as "partial 16S ribosomal RNA". It matches the Rfam family "Bacterial small subunit ribosomal RNA", at positions 524 to 776 of the family's 1533-position model. The record is from RNAcentral.